AGCUCAGUGGCAGAGCUCUUGCUUGGCAUGCAUGAGUCCCUGGGUUCAAUCCCUAG
This 56-nucleotide transfer RNA is filed under the name Cavia porcellus (domestic guinea pig). It matches the Rfam family "tRNA", at positions 9 to 63 of the family's 71-position model. Rfam says of the family: Transfer RNA (tRNA) molecules are approximately 80 nucleotides in length. Their secondary structure includes four short double-helical elements and three loops (D, anti-codon, and T loops). Further hydrogen bonds mediate the characteristic L-shaped molecular structure. tRNAs have two regions of fundamental functional importance: the anti-codon, which is responsible for specific mRNA codon recognition, and the 3' end, to which the tRNAs corresponding amino acid is attached (by aminoacyl-tRNA synthetases). tRNAs cope with the degeneracy of the genetic code in two manners: having more than one tRNA (with a specific anti-codon) for a particular amino acid; and 'wobble' base-pairing, i.e. permitting non-standard base-pairing at the 3rd anti-codon position. The record is from Rfam by way of RNAcentral. Lineage: Eukaryota; Metazoa; Chordata; Mammalia; Rodentia; Caviidae.